AUUUAAAUAGCUCAUAAAGAGCGUGGCAUUGAAGAUGCUAAGGAAAUUUUAUAAUUUUUAAAUA
This 64-nucleotide transfer RNA is filed under the name Dichotrachelus manueli. RNAcentral's name for it is "tRNA-Phe". Lineage: Eukaryota; Metazoa; Arthropoda; Insecta; Coleoptera; Curculionidae. The record is from RNAcentral.